Long non-coding RNA from Tupaia belangeri chinensis (Chinese tree shrew), 438 nucleotides. RefSeq lists it as uncharacterized. The record is from RefSeq and is a predicted model, not a curated record. Lineage: Eukaryota; Metazoa; Chordata; Mammalia; Scandentia; Tupaiidae. The transcript is spliced from 2 exons.
CGAGCACCUGUUCCGUGCUUCGGUCAAACAGCCUCUGCUCUGCUCCGCCAAACGGGUCCCCUUAGACAGCUGACGACAUCCGGCGGGCUCCCUCUCCUCUGUGGGCCGGCGACGCUCCCAGGACCUGUGUGAAAUACGUCUUGCCGGAUUGGAAUAUCCGCUUUAAGACACACUAAAACCUAUGCUGACAUGGCUGCUUUAAAGUUAUCCAAUUUAGACUUCAUAAUUACCUCUUCUGCCAGCACCAAGUCUGCUUCGCUUGAAGCUUUCCGUUACAUGAGAAGCAUCAGCCCUCCGCUGGAGCCUGUGGCACCGAUGACUCAUUGAGGAUCCGGACCUCCACAAAGCCUCUUGGUUUAUCGGCAGCAUCACUCUUCUUUUUUUGAUUUGCUAUCAGCAGAUUCACUGUCGGAUAAAGAUUUUUCUCUUUGUACUAUC